Molecule: ribosomal RNA, 719 nt
Filed under: Odontochilus nakaianus
Lineage: Eukaryota; Viridiplantae; Streptophyta; Magnoliopsida; Asparagales; Orchidaceae
Description: eukaryotic LSU rRNA
Rfam family: 5.8S ribosomal RNA (bases 275-430)
Source: RNAcentral
UUUCCGUAGGUGAACCUGCGGAAGGAUCAUUGUCGAGACCCUAAAGAAAAUUGGAUGACUUUGGAUAACACGUGAACGAUUGACGGCGAUUGCUGUCUAUAAACACCAUCCAUCUUUUGUCACUUCUUUUGAUUGAAGUUGCAAUGAAAAGAUGGAAGGAAAAAUAACUCGGCACAGUUAUGUGCCAAGGAAGUAUGCUGCAUAGACAUCGAUGGCUAUUCGCCAAAGCCUGUGUGCUUUGCGGAGUGCUGUUGUUGUUUCUUAAGUAUUGUAUGACUCUCGACAAUGGAUAUCUUGGCUCUUGCAUCGAUGAAGAGCGCAGCGAAAUGCGAUACGUGGUGUGAAUUGCAGAAUCCCGUGAACCAUCAAGUCUUUGAACGCAAGUUGCGCCCGAGGCCAAUUGGCUAAGGGCACGUCCGCCUGGGCGUCAAGCAUUACAUCGCUUCAUUCGACACCAAUUGCCCAAUGCUGUGCAGUGGUGCCGAAUUGAAUGCGGAGAGUGGCCCUUCGCGCACACUUGUGCGGCGGGUUGAAGAACAGUUUGCUUUCCUCUGGCCAUGUUUUGAUAAAGGGGUGGUGUAUGCUGCCAUUUGGCCCACGCUAUCAUCUCAUUGUCUUGAGGAGGAUAUCUGUACACAUUCCUGGCUGUUCACCCGAUAAUGUCGUAGGUGGCGCCCUGAAAUGCGACCCCAGGAUGGGCGGGAUGACCCGCUGAGUUU